This is a long non-coding RNA of Myotis brandtii (Brandt's bat), 232 nucleotides long. RefSeq lists it as uncharacterized. The transcript has 3 exons. The record is from RefSeq and is a predicted model, not a curated record. NCBI's taxonomy places the organism in Eukaryota, Metazoa, Chordata, Mammalia, Chiroptera, Vespertilionidae.
AGCUUCUUAAGGUGGAACUGAGGUGAUAGAAUUCAGACAUUUCUUAUUUUCUAAUAUAAACAUUCAAAGCUAGAGAUUUUCCUCUAAUGUAUCCCAUAGAUUUUGGGCUGGUCUAAGUGCUCUUCCUUUGUGUUUUACUGGUAUGCUGUGCCAGGGCUGCUAUGACUGUGGAAUUGGUGUUCUGCAUAAAGAUAGUAAUAGAAAGACAGACAUCAAUCAGUUGCCUCCAGUA